AACUACUUCGAAGACCAGUGAUUUAAAUGUUUAGUCAAGGACGAAAUUGUAAGAAGAAAUUCUUGUUAAUUAUCCUGUGACGUAUCUCGCAAAUACAUAAAGUGACCGAAUCUAACGUUUCAUCAUUAAAUUCUCUUCGGACUCAUAAGAGAAUAAAUCUAUUUAAAAAGUAACGAAGAUAGAACCGACCGGUCGGCGAGAUGUGAAUAUAUUUCCCAGGUGGAAGUCUUUAGUUUCACUUGAGUAAUUUCCGUCGCGAGGAAACUACUGAAAUAGUCUCAUCGGAUGUAAGUUCUCACCGGAUGUGAAACAACUCGAACGCGUUAUGAUGUACCAUGAAGCCGGGGCUCUGACGACAGCGUACGCACCCUACGACGCGAUAGCAUCUGAUGGAUCCUAAAUGACAUCGGUUAGGUUCGGCGUUAUCGUCAGCGACAUCGUCGAGGGCGUCUAUUUGUAUCGCAACGGACUCGACGUCCCACGCGAACUAGCGAGCCAGCUAAAAAAGACCGGCGUUAUGUCAUUAUCGGUGAACGAUGACGGAAAGCCAUGUGAGGCGUAGCCGCGUAUGAAGCGGGCGUUAAUGGACCGUGAGCGGAGUGUAGGACUGGCACGAUCGAGUAGCUCCGUUAAUAACGGCGAAGACGUUUUCGCGCGGAGAAGGGGUGGGACUUUAAAAAAAGCACGGACACCCCUCGCCGAGACACAUUCUUCCACGGCCGUUUCGUGAAUGAAUCAUCCACGUCCAUGCGUUGUCGUACGUCAGUUUUGACGCGCGGGCGUGAUUAUAAAGGAUUAUUCGCGGUUACUCAUCGUUAGGUCGGUGAUCAGUUAUCAGCGUCGACGUUGACGCUGUUCGUGUCAUCCGGUUGAUGAAAAAAGUUCGCAGCUACGGGUACCGCAGUGUGAAGUUACAAGGAAAGUAGCGAGUGCACUGUGAAGUUCGCGCGACGGCGUGCCACAACGGGUACGUAGCUGUCGAGAAGACGAGAGAGGAAGGGAGAGAGGGGGCGAGAAUCGGUUCUGAAAGCGGAGUUUCGAGCUAUCAGAGAAUUAGAUUCCCUGGGAACUUAUCGGCCAUCUCGGGCAACUUGCUAUCCUGGAGUUAAAGACGGAGAUAUCCGAGCAGGGGACUUGCCAGGACUACUCGUCCUUCGUUCGGACGCAUAAAGUCCCAGGAUGAAGGGGAUGCUUCUAGUAAUGAGCACGAUGGUUUGGUUUGUCGCGGCGGAAGUUUUCCUUGGCGACGUCGACGAGCCGAGCUACUAAACAUUGGUUUUGAUGGAAUAAGCGCAGGAAUCAUUAUCAUUGAUGGAAUAAAUGUUGGAAUCUGGAAUGUGGAAUUAAAAUUCGUCGGGUGUCGAGUCCAACAAUACGGCUUCGCCGGCAGUCGUUUCUCGUCGCCGGCGAUUCUGAGUCGACGUGACGGUUCGUCCAUGGCACGUGGAACGCGCGGAUCGUUGCAAUUACGGUACUAAUUAAUGCCGAAAGACAACCAGCCGCGGUAUCAGUCGUCCAUAAUAACGCUGUUGACAACAUCAUAAUCGUUAUUAAGCAUUUAUGGCUCGUGACGAGGCUGACGCGGCCGCGACGCGCACAGAAAUUAGGGUGGACGGGAUCGACGGACGCGACGGGGUUGGACCGUAGAAAAAAAGAAGAUCGUGGAGGGGGCCGCAUUAAUUUCAACGCGUCCCAUGGUAGCCAGGACGAUAUACGUGGACAGUAUGGUGAAUUUGGCUGUCAAUAGUUGUUUUGCGGCCGGCACAACCUCGGUUUCCGUGCUCUACGACAUCGGACGGGACCGCAGCCCGUUUAUUUAAUCGAUGCAUUAUGCAAAUUGACAUAACGGUUCCACUUCGGAUGCAGUAAUCGACCGCCAUCUCUUGACUGAUUCACAACGGGACAAUGUGUGUACGCUGAAUAAUUGGCAGUACCGUGUUGCGGCACCGAAAUCAAAGCUGCCACCGCACUUCCUUUCCGUAUCAUCGGAACGUCGAUUUCGUGAUAUACUAUUUCACGAUUUUCUUAUACUCAACUUGAAAUUGUUAAUCGUAAUGAGGAGCGUGAGUUUUCAUACUACUCUUUUCCUAAUUGCAAUUAUUUAUCAACUUCCCUUCCUUAUCUUAUUUUAUAGUUGUGCCGUUUUCAAGUUGCAGAUGUACGCGAAAUUUUCGUUAAGUUAUAACAUGAAUUAAGUGAUAGAUUGCAAAGGUAUAAUUAAUCCGAGUAACGAGGGUAAUGAGUGAAAUUUAGAGGAGUUGCGCGUGUAUUAAACAGUGUUCACCGACACGAAUAGCCGUUAGAGGCGGUUAAACGCAUACACUCGGUUUAAAUUUAAUUUUAAUUUAAUACUAAUUAGUGUAUUAUACAUCGAGAGGCUCCAAGUUCACUCUUUGAGAGUGCUUCAACACAAAUUGCACGAAAAUUGACACGUAAGAGAGCGAAUAAUUUCUCACUCGUCGAGUUCGCUUCGCGUCUUUCACGCUCUGGCACUGUUAUACGCAAAUUCGAUAGAAGUGGAAAUGAAACUUGAGCAUUCCCCAUGCACUCGCAAUUUCUACAAAAACGUUAUAUUGCAUAUUGUUUGUUGUCGAAACGAAUACGUUCCCUGAAAACGCGCAUAUAAAAUUAUUACAUGCAUUUUAAUUUCCACCACACGCGCAUCUGCCUAUGUUCGAUCUUACUAUGUUCGAUCUUAUUAAACGCGAAACAAGAGGUAGUCCACUAAAUUCUAUCAGAUUUCAUUUAUAAAUGAUUUGUUAUUUUUUCAAUUAGUAAUCUGAACCAUAGAACAAAGAUUGUCGCUCAUCAAAGUGAACUGGAAUAUAAUGUUUCUCAUCCAAUUGAGAAUAUUUUAACAAGAUUUAUUUUUUAAAUAAUUGCGGAGUAUAACGAGUUGGAAAAUUAUACUCGAUUUCAUUAAACCCAAUCGUUUUACUUCUAUAAAGAAAUCAUUUCAAUUGUCUACUUUUAAAUCCAUACAUUGACAGAAUUAGGAGUACUACUCCACGAAAGAUUGUAGUUCCACGCGAUGAUUCUUUCGCGGAAUAAUUUCGCGUUUCGUUGUAGCUGGAAUAGAAAGGCACGUAGCAUUCGUUUAUCGUAGUAGAAAAAUUAUGGCAGAAAUAUGUAACACGACGAGGCAGCGGAGCCAUCCGUUCAUCGCGUGUGUGUACGAGGCUUGAGGUCGGACUAGUUAAAUAGCAUUCCUGCUUGCCUUCCACCUGUGGACGGGAAAUUACAAUAAAUUCACUGAAUUACAGCGCCCUGAGAGGCUUCGUGAAUAACCCAUAAUCGCUCAAAAAUUCGAUGUUAAUGCAGUUCGAUCGCGCGACACAGCCGACAGUCAGGCUCGACGUACCUACGGACAUUUCGUGAUAUGUAUGUAUGUGUAUGUGUUAUACGGCCGUUUCUUCUCGCUGAAAACUGCUCGAAUAAUUUUCAACACGCGAGCCACGUAUACGCGGCUCAUUAGAAUAUUUCGUUAUAAAUUACGCGGUAACACUGCGCGGUUCUACUAUUAUUACGAUACGCGGCUAUUUUGUUCGACCCUCGUGCUUGAUGAAAGCAUCACCGUCAUUGUGAUUCAGAGAAUGAUCUACACGUAAAACAUUACAUUCGCCUAAAAUACACAUCUAAUAAUACGGAGAAAGUAAUACCGUUCUUCAGCGAACAACAGUUUUUUCUUAUUUUUCGUUCUUCGUUUUCAUAAUCUGGACGUGUAAUAUAAUUUUGUGGAAAACGAAUAGAAGAGAGUUUGAAAUUUGUAAUAAGAGAUUUUGUUUAAUGCAUAGAUUAUUACGCUUUUAAUGGAGAAAUGUUAAUUAGCAUAAUUUUUUUUUACGUAGUUCCUUUGACAAAAAUAUAUUUUUCUGAAUAAAAUAUACCACCAAUGAAAGUCGCCUAUAAACACUGACUUUCUAAACGGUGCGGUGGUGCAAAAAAAUUUAACAAAAGAAUUAUUUUUUUUUACUAUUGUUUCCAGUUCUAUUAUUCUUAUUCAUCCGCUUUUUUAUUUCCUGUCAUUCUUGCUUUUACUUCAUCAUCUUCGAUAUUCCUAAGGUCCUUACGAGGCAUUUAUACAUUAAUUACAUAGUACAUAAUUAAACGAUAAUUUUAAUGAAUAAAUUUAAAUAGGUAAUACGUUCCUUGGCUGUACAUUCUAAUCUAUUUUGCCGGUGACACCCUCUCUGCAGUUUUGUUACGUAGCGUCAUACAUUUGAAAAAAGCCUGCAUUUUUUGUGCAGCAUCGCGUGAUUUUUCGAUGUAUCACGAGACACGGAUGUACGAAUCGCGAAAUUCCGGGGGACGUACAAAUGGUGUCAUCGAUCGCUGUUACGUGAUUUAUGACGUUCGUUUUCGUGUGAUCAUUUUGUAUCGCGUUUUUUACCCAUCUUUCUUCGGAUUUCUCGCGAUCGAUAAACACAGUCUGCGGUAUUCCCAGUACGAAAUUUUUUUUAACCAGAAACCAAAAGCUUUGCGUAGUAUGCAGUUAAAACGAAAUCCAUACUGUGUCAUACGAGUACUUAUCAUCUGAGCGCAUUAUAAAUACAAUAAAAUGUUUCUAUUCAUA
Long non-coding RNA from Ceratina calcarata, 4573 nucleotides. RefSeq lists it as uncharacterized. The record is from RefSeq and is a predicted model, not a curated record. NCBI's taxonomy places the organism in Eukaryota, Metazoa, Arthropoda, Insecta, Hymenoptera, Apidae. The transcript is spliced from 2 exons.